Molecule: long non-coding RNA, 1857 nt
Organism: Dermacentor silvarum
Lineage: Eukaryota; Metazoa; Arthropoda; Arachnida; Ixodida; Ixodidae
Exons: 3
Source: RefSeq, a predicted model, not a curated record
UGUCUACGGGGGUUCUCCUGAACGUCGCCUCAACCUACAUGGGAAUGAUGGGAAGUACAGGCUUCGGAUUGACUUCUGUCUUGAAACUGGUGGCGUUUGCAUGCGGCGCAGUAAACGAAGCUGUAUUAAAACAUUUUCGUGCAAAAAUUAAUUUUAUUUAUGUUGUGUUUUAUAUAAUGCAUAAUACAUUGAAUAAAGUUUGCAUGACUUUGAGAUUGAAGCAUGGUUUACCACCAGGGUAUGCAUUGUUCUGCCUGAUUUAGCGCCAUUGAAUAAUUAUUUAUUUACUUUCACAACAGCAAUAACAACCGUGCAUGUGCUUAUAUAAAAAUACUCAUCAAAUAUUUAUGGAAAUAAAAAUUUUGUAUUAUGAGAAAAGUGUUGCGCCUUUGAGAGAAAUGUUACAAGUGUCGUCUGCUACGACGCCUGCUCGCUGCGAACGCGGGGAAAGUGAACUUUUCUCGCAGACGGUACGCACUUGCGAACUCUCUCGCUCUUUCGAAAGGCUGCAUCGGCUGUCACGAUUGAUGAACGCCUUCGAGUACUUUUAAACACAUCUGCUGCAGUGCUAUCUUAGACGCUUGUGGCCUCUUACGAGCAUGCUUUACUAUAUUUUAUGUUGACGUACCGCUUCUUCUGAAGUGCGCGCCAGCAACUGUUACGUCGUGGCUUUGCGCUUACCCGUUUUGCGACAGCAGACUACAGCCAGGAAACAGCAACCUUUCUUACCACAAGUUUCCAAUUGACAAUCCCAUCCUCCUGCAAAAAUGGCUUCAAGCCAUGGGUCUGAGAGGCUUUGCUCCAACCAGACGUCAUGCUCUGUGCUCUGCCCACUUCGAGCAAUCUAACUUUUGCGGUGGUCUACAACGACGCCGACUGCGUGAAGGGGCAGUGCCGACUUUGUUUCAACCAAGCAGUGACAACACAAGGGUAGAAGCAUCAGCAGCAACACUUGAAGCUCACUCGAUGUGUUCACCGGAAGGAUGGGCAGCGUUGUAAUCAACCAACACGUUGUGCACAAGAUUUUGGUUGCUCAAUGCUGUGUUGCUCGCAUCUAGGUCUUCUAUGAAGUGCACACUAUGACAUAGUUGCCGGGCCUCAAAUGAGGAAGCGCAUGAAAACACGGACACGAGAAGAAACGAAGACGAAGACAAGCGCUAACUUUCAACAACAAAAUUUAUUUCGUCUGUCUUACUGUGUUUUGCAAGCAAACCAAAAAACUGUGCUUGAUUGUCCUAUUUUCCUUUUGCUACGAUUCCUUCAACUGUCAAUCUUAUGUAAACCCUGGCAACAUUACAAAAAUGAAUGACUACAGCGACACAUAUACACACUGCAUUUAUGUUAAUACUAAUCUCUAAACUAAAAAGUAUAAGGAGUCAAUUUCAUGCGGACAUUAACCAAGUUAAAUUGCAAGGAGCAAUGACAGCACGACACCACCACACACUUCCAGGUUUUGCAAUGCACCAAUUUUAUGAGCAAGGAAUUGGUCAACCUCAUUACUAUAGUGUUUUUCUUUCUUCAUCUGAGCUACAGUAUUUGAAACGCACCAUUUUCUUUUUCAGUUAUCACAUGCAACAUUCUUCCGUCAGUCAAGUGGCACUGCGUUAGUAAACUAGACAGGAAAGUAAGAGCAAUCGCAAGCUGAAAUAUAAAUGAAAGCUGCAAGCUUUCAUAUAAUUAUGAAUGUUGUGCGCCGGAAACGUAUGCUGCAUACCCCCAUAAUCUAACGAACGUAGCUGGUACAGAUUUCUAUGGGCUCGUGUAAAAGCGAGCGUACUUGACACACUACAACGGAACCACAACCGAUCAGACAUCCCACACCUAGAUGCAGUAUCGCGACGCGUUACAAUGAUCGCA